This 84-nucleotide transfer RNA is filed under the name Candidatus Stahliibacteriota bacterium. RNAcentral's name for it is "tRNA-Leu". It matches the Rfam family "tRNA". From Rfam's summary of the family: Transfer RNA (tRNA) molecules are approximately 80 nucleotides in length. Their secondary structure includes four short double-helical elements and three loops (D, anti-codon, and T loops). The record is from RNAcentral. Lineage: Bacteria; Candidatus Stahliibacteriota.
GCGAGGAUGGCGGAAUAGGUAGACGCGCUGGAUUUAGGAUCCAGUUCGCACUGUCGAGUGGGGGUUCAAAUCCCCCUCCUCGCA